This 74-nucleotide transfer RNA is filed under the name Erysipelotrichaceae bacterium. Its description in RNAcentral is "tRNA-Thr". It matches the Rfam family "tRNA". Rfam says of the family: Transfer RNA (tRNA) molecules are approximately 80 nucleotides in length. Lineage: Bacteria; Bacillati; Bacillota; Erysipelotrichia; Erysipelotrichales; Erysipelotrichaceae. The record is from RNAcentral.
GCCAUCAUAGUUCAGUGGUAAAACGGAGCAAUGGUAAUGCUCAGUUCUGAGUUCGAUUCUCGGUGAUGGCACCA